UGGGGCAUAUUGCACAAUGGGCGCAAGCCUGAUGCAGCCAUGCCGCGUGUAUGAAGAAGGCCUUCGGGUUGUAAAGUACUUUCAGCGGGGAGGAAGGGAGUAAAGUUAAUACCUUUGCUCCUUGACGUUACCCGCAGUAGAACCACCGGCUAACUCCGUGCCAGCAGCCGCGGUAAUACGGAGGGUGCAAGCGUUAAUCGGAAUUACUGGGCGUAAAGCGCACGCAGGCGGUUUGUUAAGUCAGAUGUGCAAUCCCCGGGCUCAACCUAGGAACUGCAUCUGAUACUGGCAAGCUUGAGUCUCGUAGAGGGGGGUAGAAUUCCAGGUGUAGCGGUGAAAUGCGUAGAGAUCUGGAGGAAUACCGGUGGCGAAGGCGGCCCCCUGGACGAAGACUGACGCUCAGGUGCGAAAGCGUGGGGAGCAAACAGG
This 429-nucleotide ribosomal RNA is filed under the name Chloroflexota bacterium. Its description in RNAcentral is "Chloroflexi bacterium partial 16S ribosomal RNA". It matches the Rfam family "Bacterial small subunit ribosomal RNA", at positions 355 to 776 of the family's 1533-position model. The record is from RNAcentral. Lineage: Bacteria; Bacillati; Chloroflexota.